Molecule: long non-coding RNA, 1767 nt
Filed under: Bos indicus x Bos taurus (hybrid cattle)
Lineage: Eukaryota; Metazoa; Chordata; Mammalia; Artiodactyla; Bovidae
Source: RNAcentral
CCGUGUUGGUCCCCUGAUCCUCGCUUCUCUCUGAAUUCUUGUGUCUCGUUUCUCAUUCUCUCACCUCAUCGCACUUUCGGAAACCCUGCUUGUCUAGCUGGUCUCAACAAUACAUACCACAUCUUCUUUAUCCAUUCAUCUGUGAAUGGAUACUUAGGUUGCUUCUAUGUCUUGGCUAUCAUAAAUAAUGCUGCUGUGAACAUUGGGGCUUCCCUGGUGGCUCUGUUGGUAAAGAAUCCUCCUGCAAUACAGUAGACCUGGGUUCAGUCCCUGGGUCUGGAAAAAUCCCUGAAGAAGGAAAUGGCAACCCACCCCAGUAUUCUUGCCUGGAAAACCCCAUGGAUGGAGAAGCCUGGUGGGCUACAGUCCAUAGAGUCGCAAAGAGUUGGACACGACUGAGCGACUUCACUUUAGCAACUAAACCACCACCGCCGUACUGUUUUCCAUAGUGGCUGCACCAGUUUACAUUUCCACCAGCACUGUAGGAGGGAUCCCCUUUCUCCACACCCUUUUCAGCAUUUACUAUUUAUAGACCUUUUAAUGAUGGUCAGCUUCCCUGGUGGCUCAGAUGGUAAAAGAAUCUGCCUGCAAUGCAGGAGACCCACAUUCAGUCCCUGGAUUGGGAAGAUCCCCUGGAGAAGGGAAUGGCAACCCAUCCCAGUACUCUUGCCUGGAGAAUUCCAUGGACAGAGGGCUACCUGAUGGGCUACAGUCCACGGGAUCACAAAAGAAUUGGACACGACUGAGCGACUAUCACACAUGUAUAAUACACAUAUUUUGACUGGUGCGAGGUGAUACCUCAUUGUGGUUUUGAUUUACAUUUCUCUAACAAUUAAUGAUAUUGAGUAUCUUUUCAUAAGCUGUUUGGCCAUCUGUAUGUCUUUGGAGUAGUAUCUAUUUAGAUCCUCUGCCCAUUUUUUUAUCUUUUUUUUUUUUUCAUAUUGAAACUGCAUGAGUUGUUUGUGUAUUUUAGAGAUUAAUCCCUUUCAAUCACAUAGUUUACAAAUAUCUAUAUGUUGUCUUUCCAUUUUGUUUAUGGUUUCCUUUGCUAUAAAAGAUUUUAAGUUUAAUUAUCUCAUUUGUUUAUUUUUGCUUUCAUUUUCAUAUAACUUAUGUUCUUCUUGAAGCUUGAUUUUAUUGCUGCUUUCUUAAUUUUCUUCUGUUAUCAUUUAGUAAUUAGGCAUAUAUAUUCAAGGCCAUUUUAAGUACAUUCAUGAUCACAGUAAUAGAUACUUCAUUGUCAAAAUAUAGUCAUAAUUGAAAAACAAAAUAGAUCAUUUGGAUGUUCUAGGGAAUAGGAAAGUUUUGACCACCCAUCAUAUCACUUACUUUUCAGAAAAUUAAAAAAAAAAAUACUACAUCACAAAAUAAAAUACCCUGGGGUUAUUAUGCUUAGUGAGAUAAGUCAGACAAAGAAAGACAAAUACUGCAUGUUUUCACUGAUACAGAGAAUCUAAAAGAUGAAACAAAUGAACAAAUACAACCAAAUAGAAAUAGACUCACACAUAAAGAGAACAAACUAGGGAUUACCAGAGGAGAGAGGGGUAGGGAUAGAGACAAAAUAGGUGAAUGGGAUUAGGAAGUACAAAUUUCUAGUUAUGAAAUAGGUGAGUUAUAAGGAUGUAAUGUACAACACAGAGAAUAUAGUCAAUAUUUUAUACUAACUGUAAUGUGUGAUAUAUAAAAAAUAUUGAAUUAUUUUGUACACUUGAAACUAAUUUUAUAUUGUACAUCAGUGAUAUUUCAAUUAGAGAGAAAACACACACA